This 793-nucleotide ribosomal RNA is filed under the name uncultured bacterium. Its description in RNAcentral is "bacterial SSU rRNA". It matches the Rfam family "Bacterial small subunit ribosomal RNA", at positions 1 to 791 of the family's 1533-position model. The record is from RNAcentral.
UAGAGUUUGAUCCUGGCUCAGGAUGAACGCUAGCGGCAGGCUUAACACAUGCAAGUCGAGGGGCAUCGGGAGGGAAGCUUGCUUUCCUUGCCGGCGACCGGCGCACGGGUGAGUAACACGUAUGCAACCUGCCCUCUUCAGGGGGACAACCUUCCGAAAGGGAGGCUAAUCCCGCGUACAUCGGUUUCGGGCAUCCGAGAUCGAGGAAAGAUUCAUCGGAAGAGGAUGGGCAUGCGGCGCAUUAGCUUGACGGCGGGGUAACGGCCCACCGUGGCGACGAUGCGUAGGGGUUCUGAGAGGAAGGUCCCCCACACUGGUACUGAGACACGGACCAGACUCCUACGGGAGGCAGCAGUGAGGAAUAUUGGUCAAUGGGAGAGAUCCUGAACCAGCCAAGCCGCGUGAGGGAAGACGGCCCUAUGGGUUGUAAACCUCUUUUGUCGGAGAACAAAACCCGGGACGUGUCCCGGACUGCGUGUAUCCGAAGAAAAAGCAUCGGCUAACUCCGUGCCAGCAGCCGCGGUAAUACGGAGGAUGCGAGCGUUAUCCGGAUUUAUUGGGUUUAAAGGGUGCGUAGGCGGUCCGUUAAGUCAGCGGUAAAAUUGCGGGGCUCAACCCCGUCGAGCCGUUGAAACUGGCAGACUUGAGUUGGCGAGAAGUACGCGGAAUGCGCGGUGUAGCGGUGAAAUGCAUAGAUAUCGCGCAGAACUCCGAUUGCGAAGGCAGCGUACCGGCGCCACACUGACGCUGAGGCACGAAAGCGUGGGGAUCGAACAGGAUUAGAUACCCUGGU